GACGAACGCUGGCGGCGUGCUUAACACAUGCAAGUCGAACGGUGAAGCACCUUCCUUUUGGUGGGUGUGGAUGAGUGGCGAACGGGUGAGUAACACGUGAGUAACCUGCCCCCUUCUUCUGGAUAACCGCAUGAAAGUGUGGCUAAUACGGGAUAUUCUGUGCCUGCUGCAUGGUGGGUGUGGGAAAGAUGCGCCUUUGGGUGUUUUUGGUGGGGGAUGGGCUCGCGGCCUAUCAGCUUGUUGGUGGGGUGAUGGCCUACCAAGGCGGUGACGGGUAGCCGGCCUGAGAGGGUGGACGGUCACACUGGGACUGAGACACGGCCCAGACUCCUACGGGAGGCAGCAGUGGGGAAUAUUGCACAAUGGGCGCAAGCCUGAUGCAGCGACGCCGCGUGAGGGAUGGAGGCCUUCGGGUUGUAAACCUCUUUCGCCAGUGAAGCAGGCCUGCUCCUUGUGGGUGGGUUGACGGUAGCUGGAUAAGAAGCGCCGGCUAACUACGUGCCAGCAGCCGCGGUAAUACGUAGGGCGCGAGCGUUGUCCGGAAUUAUUGGGCGUAAAGAGCUCGUAGGCGGCUGGUCGCGUCUGUCGUGAAAUCCUCUGGCUUAACUGGGGGCUUGCGGUGGGUACGGGCCGGCUUGAGUGCGGUAGGGGAGACUGGAACUCCUGGUGUAGCGGUGGAAUGCGCAGAUAUCAGGAAGAACACCGGUGGCGAAGGCGGGUCUCUGGGCCGUUACUGACGCUGAGGAGCGAAAGCGUGGGGAGCGAACAGG
Molecule: ribosomal RNA, 770 nt
Filed under: uncultured Actinomyces sp.
Lineage: Bacteria; Bacillati; Actinomycetota; Actinomycetes; Actinomycetales; Actinomycetaceae
Description: bacterial SSU rRNA
Rfam family: Bacterial small subunit ribosomal RNA
Source: RNAcentral